GGUACCUGCCCUCGGGUCUGGGAUAGCUGCGGGAAACUGCAAUUAAUACCAGAUGACGUCUGAGGACCAAAGGUGUGAUUCCGCCAGGGGGUGGGCCUGCGUCCUAUCAGCUAGUUGGUGUGGUAAAGGCGCACCAAGGCAAAGACGGGUACGGGGUGUGAGAGCAUGCCCCCGCUCACUGGGACUGAGACACUGCCCAGACACCUACGGGUGGCUGCAGUCGAGAAUCUUCCGCAAUGGGCGCAAGCCUGACGGAGCGACGCCGCGUGUGGGAUGAAGGCCCUCGGGUUGUAAACCGCUGUCAGUGGGGAGCAAAUGGCUAGGGGUUCUCCCCUAGUCUUGAGCGAUCCGCAGAGGAAGCACAGGCUAAUUCCGUGCCAGCAGCCGCGGUAAUACGGAAUGUGCAAACGUUAUUCGGAAUCACUGGGCUUAAAGAGUCCGUAGGCGGCAUGUUAGGUGAGGUGUGAAAUCCCACGGCCCAAC
This 483-nucleotide ribosomal RNA is filed under the name uncultured Rhodopirellula sp. RNAcentral describes it as "bacterial SSU rRNA". It matches the Rfam family "Bacterial small subunit ribosomal RNA", at positions 120 to 613 of the family's 1533-position model. Lineage: Bacteria; Pseudomonadati; Planctomycetota; Planctomycetia; Pirellulales; Pirellulaceae. The record is from RNAcentral.